This 468-nucleotide ribosomal RNA is filed under the name uncultured Rhodocyclaceae bacterium. RNAcentral's name for it is "bacterial SSU rRNA". It matches the Rfam family "Bacterial small subunit ribosomal RNA", at positions 916 to 1381 of the family's 1533-position model. Lineage: Bacteria; Pseudomonadati; Pseudomonadota; Betaproteobacteria; Rhodocyclales; Rhodocyclaceae. The record is from RNAcentral.
GACGGGACCCGCACAAGCGGUGGAUGAUGUGGAUUAAUUCGAUGCAACGCGAAAACCUUACCUACCUUGACAUGUCCGGAAUCCCGAAGAGAUUUGGGAGUGCUCGCAAGAGAACCGGAACACAGGUGCUGCAUGGCUGUCGUCAGCUCGUGUCGUGAGAUGUUGGGUUAAGUCCCGCAACGAGCGCAACCCUUGUCAUUAGUUGCCAUCAUUUGGUUGGGCACUCUAAUGAGACUGCCGGUGACAAACCGGAGGAAGGUGGGGAUGACGUCAAGUCCUCAUGGCCCUUAUGGGUAGGGCUUCACACGUCAUACAAUGGUCGGUACAGAGGGUUGCCAACCCGCGAGGGGGAGCUAAUCCCACAAAGCCGAUCAUAGUCCGGAUCGCAGUCUGCAACUCGACUGCGUGAAGUCGGAAUCGCUAGUAAUCGUGGAUCAGCAUGUCACGGUGAAUACGUUCCCGGGUCUU